RNAcentral lists this ribosomal RNA (252 nucleotides) under uncultured bacterium. RNAcentral describes it as "partial 16S ribosomal RNA". It matches the Rfam family "Bacterial small subunit ribosomal RNA", at positions 524 to 776 of the family's 1533-position model. The record is from RNAcentral.
UACGGAGGAUGCGAGCGUUAUCCGGAUUUAUUGGGUUUAAAGGGUGCGUAGGCGGAUUUUUAAGUCAGCGGUAAAAAUGCGGUGCUCAACGCCGUCGAGCCGUUGAAACUGGCGUUCUUGAGUGGGCGAGAAGUAUGCGGAAUGCGUGGUGUAGCGGUGAAAUGCAUAGAUAUCACGCAGAACUCCGAUUGCGAAGGCAGCAUACCGGCGCCCUACUGACGCUGAGGCACGAAAGCGUGGGUAUCGAACAGG